RNAcentral lists this ribosomal RNA (253 nucleotides) under uncultured bacterium. RNAcentral describes it as "partial 16S ribosomal RNA". It matches the Rfam family "Bacterial small subunit ribosomal RNA", at positions 524 to 776 of the family's 1533-position model. The record is from RNAcentral.
UACGGAGGGUGCAAGCGUUGUUCGGAAUCAUUGGGCGUAAAGGGCGCGUAGGCGGUUCGGUAAGUCGGGUGUGAAAGCCCCGGGCUCAACCCGGGAAGUGCAUCCGAAACUGCCGGACUUGAGUAUGGGAGGGGGAAGUGGAAUUCCUGGUGUAGGGGUGAAAUCCGUAGAUAUCAGGAGGAACACCGGUGGCGAAGGCGACUUCCUGGACCGAUACUGACGCUGAGGCGCGAAAGCGUGGGGAGCAAACAGG